Molecule: long non-coding RNA, 1177 nt
Filed under: Equus caballus (horse)
Lineage: Eukaryota; Metazoa; Chordata; Mammalia; Perissodactyla; Equidae
Description: lncRNA (ENSECAG00000060116.1)
Source: RNAcentral
CCUCAGCCAAACUUUAAUUCCUUUGAGCAACAGGCUGGUGCUUCUUAGAGGGGCUCUUCCCAUCAGUAGGAGUCAUGAGUGGCAUUCGGCAGCUUCUUUGGUGACCAGCUACAUCCUUUGGCAGUAGGCUUAAGUGCUCACCAUUGCACUGAGUGAAGAGCAUGCUGAACGGUGAUGUUCCAGUUUAAAAGGACAGCGCUGCAAACAAAGACUAUCAACUUGUAGAAAACAAGAAUGAUUUACCUUUUCUUACCAAUGAGGAAACAAACAUGCUACCAUCUGGGAAAAUGGGAAGACCAUGGACUUUCGCAUUAGGCAGAACGUGUGUCAGUGUUUUAUUUGCUUCACGUUAUGUAACCUCUUGAGACUUUAAUAUCUUUAUCUAUUAAAUGGGUUAAUAAUGUGUCCCUACCAGGGUGACUGAGGUUAGAAUUAACAUUUAUAAAGUACGUAGCCUAGUGCCUAGUGCAUCAGAGGCUCCUAAUAAAUGUCAAGCUGCUGAUGGCAUUGAUCAGAUGACAAGUAUCUUUGGAAAGAACAAAAAUCGAUCAGCUGAAAAUAGAUUAUUAUUGUAUUUCAUGAGAGUGAAUUAGGACCAUAUGUGUGUAUUUUUGAGAUUGAACAUUGUUAUGUUUUUAAGAAAAAUGUAGUUUUCUCAUUUGGAAUAAAAAUGACAUUCUGGGUGUCCUUGAUUUGACAGUGAGCUCUUUGAGAACAGUUUGCUGUUAAAGGAAAGAAGCAAGACACAUGGCUUAGAUUUAUCUUUGAAAUACACAAUGCAACUUUUAAAUGAAGGGGAAAAAUGCUUGGGGCAAAAUGUGUUUUUGUUUGUUUUUUUUUAAAGACUAAACACCAUGCACUUCUCCCACUCUUUCCCAUAUGCACCUAGUGUAUACUUGGGUUGACAGAUCAGGGCAGGGCAGGCCUGCGUCAAUUAGCUGAGCCCUUAUUUCAUUGCGUUUGUUGUUUAAGCCAUCAUGUUGGGUCAACAACUGUGAACACCAGGAGUUGCUGACUUCCAGGAAGUCAUCUUAGAUGAGAUGAGGAGAAUACGACUAGGAUUUUCUUGCCUAAACUGCCUUUUAUGUAUCAACCAACUGUGGGGAUUACAUGUGAUCAUUGCUCUUAUCUGCUUUGUGGAGUAUCUGAGAAAAAAUAAACAGAUGAGGCAGUUUCC